GUGAGUCAUCGAAUCUUUGAACGCAUCUUGCACCUUUUGGUAUUCCAAAAGGUACACCUGUUUGAGUGUCAUGAAACCCUCUCAUUAAACAUUUUAUUUUUGAUUUGUUUAGUGGAUGUUGAGUGUUGCUGUACCUAUAGCUCACUUUAAAUAUAUAAGUCACUUUUCAAAUAAGUUGGAUUGACUUGGUGUAAUAAUUUUAUCAUCACAUCAAGGAAAGUAGUAAAACACUUGCCAUCUUGUUUGUUAAUAAGAGACUCCUAAAACCCAAUAUCUUAUUUUUAAGACCUCAAAUCAGGUGGGACUACCCGCUGAACUUAA
Molecule: ribosomal RNA, 321 nt
Filed under: uncultured fungus
Lineage: Eukaryota; Fungi
Description: eukaryotic LSU rRNA
Rfam family: 5.8S ribosomal RNA (bases 1-71)
Source: RNAcentral